Molecule: ribosomal RNA, 482 nt
Filed under: uncultured bacterium
Lineage: Bacteria
Description: partial 16S ribosomal RNA
Rfam family: Bacterial small subunit ribosomal RNA
Source: RNAcentral
AUUGAACGCUGGCGGCAUGCCUUACACAUGCAAGUCGAACGGUAACGGGCCUUCGGGUGCCGACGAGUGGCGCACGGGUGAGUAAUACAUCGGAACGUGCCCGAUCGUGGGGGAUAACGAGGCGAAAGCUUUGCUAAUACCGCAUACGAUCUACGGAUGAAAGCAGGGGACCGCAAGGCCUUGCGCGGACGGAGCGGCCGAUGGCAGAUUAGGUAGUUGGUGGGAUAAAAGCUUACCAAGCCGACGAUCUGUAGCUGGUCUGAGAGGAUGAUCAGCCACACCGGGACUGAGACACGGCCCAGACUCCUACGGGAGGCAGCAGUGGGGAAUUUUGGACAAUGGGCGCAAGCCUGAUCCAGCCAUGCCGCGUGCAGGAUGAAGGCCUUCGGGUUGUAAACUGCUUUUGUACGGAACGAAAAGCCUUCUUUUAAUACAGGAGGGUCAUGACGGUACCGUAAGAAUAAGCACCGGCUAACUACGUG